RNAcentral lists this ribosomal RNA (421 nucleotides) under uncultured bacterium. RNAcentral describes it as "bacterial SSU rRNA". It matches the Rfam family "Bacterial small subunit ribosomal RNA", at positions 360 to 773 of the family's 1533-position model. The record is from RNAcentral.
AAUUUUGCGCAAUGGGCGGAAGCCUGACGCAGCAACGCCGCGUGGAGGAUGAAGGUCUUUGGAUUGUAAACUCCUGUCAGCAGGGAAAAAGGGACUGGGCUUAAUACGUUCAGGACUUGAUUGUACCUGCAGAGGAAGCCCCGGCUAACUCUGUGCCAGCAGCCGCGGUAAUACAGAGGGGGCAAGCGUUAUUCGGAAUUAUUGGGCGUAAAGGGCGCGUAGGCGGCUUUGCAAGUGACGGGUGAAAUCCCUCGGCUUAACCGAGGAACUGCCUGUCAGACUGCAUUGCUUGAGACCGGGAGAGGUGAGUGAAAUUCCCAGUGUAGCGGUGAAAUGCGUAGAUAUUGGGAGGAACACCAGUGGCAAAGGCGGCUCACUGGACCGGUACUGACGCUGAGGCGCGAAAGCGUGGGGAGCAAAC